GCAUUACUGACGAGUCCCAUACUAGGACGAAAUGGUCAUCCAGUGC
This is a non-coding RNA of Schistosoma mattheei, 46 nucleotides long. The record is from Rfam. NCBI's taxonomy places the organism in Eukaryota, Metazoa, Platyhelminthes, Trematoda, Strigeidida, Schistosomatidae.